UACUCCUACGGGAGGCAGCAGUGGGGAAUUUUGGACAAUGGGCGAAAGCCUGAUCCAGCAAUGCCGCGUGUGUGAAGAAGGCCUUCGGGUUGUAAAGCACUUUUGUCCGGAAAGAAAUCCUUGGCUCUAAUACAGUCGGGGGAUGACGGUACCGGAAGAAUAAGCACCGGCUAACUACGUGCCAGCAGCCGCGGUAAUACGUAGGGUGCAAGCGUUAAUCGGAAUUACUGGGCGUAAAGCGUGCGCAGGCGGUUUGCUAAGACCGAUGUGAAAUCCCCGGGCUCAACCUGGGAACUGCAUUGGUGACUGGCAGGCUAGAGUAUGGCAGAGGGGGGUAGAAUUCCACGUGUAGCAGUGAAAUGCGUAGAGAUGUGGAGGAAUACCGAUGGCGAAGGCAGCCCCCUGGGCCAAUACUGACACUCAUGCACGAAAGCGUGGGGAGCAAACAGGAUUAGAUACCCUGGUAGUCCACGCCCUAAACGAUGUCAACUAGUUGUUGGGGAUUCAUUUCCUUAGUAACGUAGCUAACGCGUGAAGUUGACCGCCUGGGGAGUACGGUCGCAAGAUUAAAACUCAAAGGAAUUGACGGA
RNAcentral lists this ribosomal RNA (590 nucleotides) under uncultured bacterium. Its description in RNAcentral is "bacterial SSU rRNA". It matches the Rfam family "Bacterial small subunit ribosomal RNA", at positions 334 to 917 of the family's 1533-position model. The record is from RNAcentral.